GAGUUUGAUCAUGGCUCAGAUUGAACGCUGGCGGCAUGCCUUACACAUGCAAGUCGAACGGUAACAGGUCUUCGGAUGCUGACGAGUGGCGAACGGGUGAGUAAUACAUCGGAACGUGCCCGAUCGUGGGGGGAUAACGAAGCGAAAGCUUUGCUAAUACCGCAUACGAUCUACGGAUGAAAGCAGGGGACCGCAAGGCCUUGCGCGAACGGAGCGGCCGAUGGCAGAUUAGGUAGUUGGUGGGAUAAAAGCUUACCAAGCCGGCGAUCUGUAGCUGGUCUGAGAGGACGACCAGCCACACUGGGACUGAGGCACGGCCCAGACUCCUACGGGAGGCAGCAGUGGGGAAUUUUGGACAAUGGGCGAAAGCCUGAUCCAGCCAUGCCGCGUGCAGGAUGAAGGCC
RNAcentral lists this ribosomal RNA (404 nucleotides) under uncultured microorganism. Its description in RNAcentral is "bacterial SSU rRNA". It matches the Rfam family "Bacterial small subunit ribosomal RNA", at positions 9 to 416 of the family's 1533-position model. The record is from RNAcentral.